Brassica napus (rape) is the source of this 926-nucleotide long non-coding RNA. RefSeq lists it as uncharacterized. The transcript is spliced from 2 exons. Lineage: Eukaryota; Viridiplantae; Streptophyta; Magnoliopsida; Brassicales; Brassicaceae. The record is from RefSeq and is a predicted model, not a curated record.
UGACACAGCUAAGAGCAUCUUUAUUGUGGUUUCCUAAAUGGGUUUUUUAAACAAAUAACAGCAAUUAAUUAAAUGAAAACUAAAUUAAAAUCUGUAUAACUGAUCCUUAAUCUGUGAUUUUCGGAUCCGUUUCUUAAGGAAAGAAGGACACACGUGUCUGAAUGUGGGCAACACAAUUAAUUUUUUUUUUCCCUUUUUCCUUUUCUCUUCCUCGGUUCUUCGACAUCUCUUCGUUUUCUCCGUCAUCUCUUCGGUUCUUCGACAUCUCAGAGGACGACAAUGGUUUGUUCUUCGUCUUCUCUUCGUCGAUCGAUUGAAUAUCAGAAUUGAUGUUUUGUUCUUCGUCUUCUCUUCGUCGAUUGAUGGAAGAUGAGACUUGAUGGUUUGUUCUUCGUCUUCUCUUCUCUUCGUUCUUCGUCUUCUCUUCGUCGAUGGUUUGUUUCUGAGGCAGAGUUUGUCGAUUGAUGGAAGAUCAGAGUCAUCCAUCAAGGAAGGAGAAGCUGAGAUUCAACGAUCACAAGAAGAAUCAAGUCUUCUUCAAUAAAGCUCAGGUUCCAAGCACAGAGAUAGAAAAAUCAGAGACACGAGAUCUUGGGAGCUAAGUUGUCUUCUUCUUGAGUAAGUGUGUUCCAUUUAGUCACGGACACAAGUAUUGGUCUUGUUGUGUAGUAAGUUUAGUCUUCUCAUGUCAAUGAAAGUGUAUUCAAGAUUGUUGUGUCUAUAUAAUCAUGUCUCCAUAGCUUUGUUGUUGUUGUAUGUCACGGACAAGAGGUCAGUGUAAUGUGGUCCUUGUUGUUUUGUGUCACGGACAAGAGGUCAAAUUAUGUUGUGUUGUUGUUUUGUGUCACGAACAAGAUGUUGUAAUGAAUUAAUAAUAUCUUGUAUGUGUCACAAACUUGUAUAAAUAAACCUUUGUUCUUCCUUUA